AUUAAUAAUUAAUAUAUUUAAUAAAAAUAAUUUUAAUUUAAUAAGUAUUUUAAUGGGGGUUAAAGUAUUUUUUAAAGAAACAAUUUUUAAAUUUAUAGUUAAUUAGUAUUGUGAACGAAUUUUGAAAUAUUAUGAAAAAUAAAAUUUUUAGAAAGUAAUUUUUAUUUAUUGUAUCUUGUGUAUCAGAGUUUAUUAAAAAUUUUUAAUUUAUGAAUUAAUUUCUCGAAUUUAAAAGAGUUAAAUAAUUAUUAAAGUUAUUGUAGCAAAAUUAUUUUAAAUAAUUAUUUAGAAAUGAAAUGUUAAUCGUUUUUAAAUAUAUCUAGUUUUUAUAGAAAAAAAUUUAAUUUUAAAUUUAAGAAUUAUUUAAUUAACUUAUUAAUUAAAUAAUUACUUAAAUUUUAUAAUUUAAGGGAUAAGCUUUAAAUUAAAUUUUUAUAAUACUAAAUUUUUAUUUUGAAAAUUUUAUAAUUUAUAUUGUUAAUAAAUUUUAUUUUAUUAUAAAUAAUUUCAUUUUUUUUAAAAUUUAAAUUUUAUUUAAUUUUUUAUAUAAAAUUUAUUUAUAAUUAUAUAAAGUUAAUUAUAAUGAUAAAAUUAGUAUAUUAUUUAAUAUUAAAUUAAAAUUAAUUUUUGGUUAAUAAUUAAAUUAAUUAAAAGGAAUUCGGCAAAUAUUUAUUUUCACUUGUUUAUCAAAAACAUGUCUUUUUGUUAUUUAAUUUAAAGUCUAAUCUGCCCACUGAUUUAUAAAAAUUGAAGGGCUGCAGUAUAUUGACUGUACAAAGGUAGCAUAAUCAUUAGUCUCUUAAUUGGUGACUUGUAUGAAAGAUUGGAUGAAAAAUAUACUGUCUCUUAAUUAAUAUAUAGAAUUUAAUUUUUUAUUUAAAAAGUUAAAAUAACUUAAAAAGACGAGAAGACCCUAUAGAGUUUAAUAAAUUAUUUUAUGAAAGUUUUAUUUAUAUUUAUUAAUAAUUUUAUAAAUUUAUUUAUUUAGUUGGGGUGAUAAAAAAAUAAAUUUAACUUUUUUUAAGUAAUUUACAUGAAUAAGUGAUUAAU
This 1050-nucleotide ribosomal RNA is filed under the name Biston falcata satura. RNAcentral describes it as "partial 16S ribosomal RNA". The record is from RNAcentral. Lineage: Eukaryota; Metazoa; Arthropoda; Insecta; Lepidoptera; Geometridae.